CCAGCAGCUGCGGUAAUUCCAGCUCUUCUAGUGUACAUCGAAGUUGAUGCAGUUAAAAAGCUCGUAGUCGGACUUGUUGAGUUUGGGGUAGAACUUGUUAGUGCUCGAAAGGGUAUCUAGCAGACCCAGCUCAUUCAUUUCUAAAUGGAUGUUUGCAGCAAUGUAGACCUCUCCUUUAGAUCUUUUACUUUGAGGAAAUUAGAGUGUUCAUAACAGUCAUUUUUGAUUGAAUAUUUUAGCAUGGGAUAAUAAAAUAUGGCAUUUUGCUUGUAUUUUAUGGUUUUUUAGAAGCAUUUAUUUGCAAUGAUUAAUGGGAGUGUAUGGGGCUGCCUGUAUUGAGAAGCUAGAGG
Molecule: ribosomal RNA, 350 nt
Filed under: uncultured eukaryote
Lineage: Eukaryota
Description: SSU rRNA
Rfam family: Eukaryotic small subunit ribosomal RNA
Source: RNAcentral